CGGUCCCUAUCUGCCACGGGCGUUGGAUGGUUGAGAGGAGCUGCUUUUAGUACGAGAGGACCGAAGUGGACGAACCUCUGGUGUACCAGUUAUCGUGCCAACGGUAAGUGCUGGGUAGCCACGUUCGGAAGGGAUAACCGCUGAAAGCAUCUAAGUGGGAAGCCCACCUCAAGAUGAACCAUCCCUGGGGGUAUAACCCCCCUGAAGGCACCAGGGAGACUACCUGGUUGAUAGGCUGGAGGUGGAAGCGCAGUAAUGCGUGGAGCCGACCAGUACUAAUCUGCCGUGAGGCUUGACCAUAU
Molecule: ribosomal RNA, 302 nt
Filed under: Spirochaetota bacterium
Lineage: Bacteria; Pseudomonadati; Spirochaetota
Description: Spirochaetes bacterium (sediment metagenome) partial 23S ribosomal RNA
Rfam family: Bacterial large subunit ribosomal RNA
Source: RNAcentral